UAAGCAUAUCAAUAAGCGGAGGAAAAGAAACCAACAGGGAUUGCCCUAGUAACGGCGAGUGAAGCGGCAAUAGCUCAAAUUUGAAAUCUGGCUMUGCUCUAGGGUCCGAGUUGUAAUUUGUAGAGGGUGCUUUGGCACUGAUGGCGGUCUAAGUUCCUUGGAACAGGACAUCACAGAGGGUGAGAAUCCCGUAUGUGGUCGCUAAUCUUUGCCGUGUAAAGCCCCUUCAACGAGUCGAGUUGUUUGGGAAUGCAGCUCUAAAUGGGAGGUAAAUUUCUUCUAAAGCUAAAUAUUGGCCAGAGACCGAUAGCGCACAAGUAGAGUGAUCGAAAGAUGAAAAGCACUUUGGAAAGAGAGUCAAAAAGCACGUGAAAUUGUUGAAAGGGAAGCGCUUGCCGCCAGACUUGCCUGCAGUUGCUCACCUAGGCGCUCAGCCUGGGGCACUCUUCUGCAGGCAGGCCAGCAUCAGUUUGGGCAGCCGGAUAAAGGUCUCUGACACGUUCCUUCUACCUUUGUGUAGAUGGCCAUAUAGGGGAGACGUCAUGCGGUUAGCCUGGACUGAGGUCCGCGCAUUGCUAGGAUGCUGGCGUAAUGGCUGCAAGCGGCCCGUCUUGAAACACGGACCAAGGAGUCUAACAUCUAUGCGAGUGUUUGGGUGUCAAGCCCAAGCGCGCAAUAAACGUGAACGGAGGUGGGAACCCUCUUUUGGGGGUGCACCAUCGACCGAUCCUGAUGUCUUCGGAUGGAUUUGAGUAAGAGCAUAGCUGUUGGGACCCGAAAGAUGGUGAACUAUGCUUGAAUAGGGUGAAGCCAGAGGAAACUCUGGUGGAGGCUCGCAGCGGUUCUGACGUGCAAAUCGAUCGUCAAAUUUGGGCAUAGGGGCGAAAGACUAAUCGAACUAUCUAGUAGCUGG
RNAcentral lists this ribosomal RNA (913 nucleotides) under Neohelicascus egyptiacus. RNAcentral's name for it is "partial large subunit ribosomal RNA". Lineage: Eukaryota; Fungi; Ascomycota; Dothideomycetes; Pleosporales; Morosphaeriaceae. The record is from RNAcentral.